Molecule: ribosomal RNA, 707 nt
Filed under: uncultured Actinomycetes bacterium
Lineage: Bacteria; Bacillati; Actinomycetota; Actinomycetes
Description: bacterial SSU rRNA
Rfam family: Bacterial small subunit ribosomal RNA
Source: RNAcentral
GGAUGAGCCCGCGGCCUAUCAGCUUGUUGGUGAGGUAAUGGCUCACCAAGGCGACGACGGGUAGCCGGCCUGAGAGGGCGACCGGCCACACUGGGACUGAGACACGGCCCAGACUCCUACGGGAGGCAGCAGUGGGGAAUAUUGCACAAUGGGCGAAAGCCUGAUGCAGCGACGCCGCGUGAGGGAUGACGGCCUUCGGGUUGUAAACCUCUUUCAGCAGGGAAGAAGCGAAAGUGACGGUACCUGCAGAAGAAGCGCCGGCUAACUACGUGCCAGCAGCCGCGGUAAUACGUAGGGCGCAAGCGUUGUCCGGAAUUAUUGGGCGUAAAGAGCUCGUAGGCGGUCUGUCGCGUCGGAUGUGAAAGCCCGGGGCUUAACCCCGGGUCUGCAUUCGAUACGGGCAGACUAGAGUGUGGUAGGGGAGAUCGGAAUUCCUGGUGUAGCGGUGAAAUGCGCAGAUAUCAGGAGGAACACCGGUGGCGAAAGCGGAUCUCUGGGCCAUUACUGACGCUGAAGAGCGAAAGCGUGGGGAGCGAACAGGAUUAGAUACCCUGGUAGUCCACGCCGUAAGCGGUGGGAACUAGGUGUUGGCGACAUUUCCCGUUCGUCGGUGCCGCAGCUUAACGCAUUAAGUUUCCCCCCUGGGGGAGUACCGGCCGCCAGGGCUUAAAACUCAAAGGAAUUGACCGGGGGGCCCCCCCAAGCCA